AUUGAGAUUAAAGUUGAAAAAAAAGUAGUUAUUGGUGUGAAAAUUCCCAAAAGCACCCUACAAUAUCCAAUGAAGGACAUAGUCAUUAAGAAAAAAUCACAAGUCAUUUUAUGAAAUGCCCUCCUAAUUAUGAGCAACAAUAUGCAUAUUAUCCAAUUAAAUAGGUCUAAUCAAGUAUACACACACUUUCACAUACAAAUUACUUCAUUUUCAAGAGAU
RNAcentral lists this long non-coding RNA (219 nucleotides) under Lathyrus oleraceus (garden pea). Its description in RNAcentral is "Pisum sativum (pea) long non-coding RNA (PSAT_LNC010709)". The record is from RNAcentral. Lineage: Eukaryota; Viridiplantae; Streptophyta; Magnoliopsida; Fabales; Fabaceae.